UUAUGUAUUGUUAUAGGUUACGGAUGCAACGUCGUUAAACAAUUCCAGGACAAUUAAAUUGUUGAUUCAAUCGAACAUAUGGUAUGAACAUGGUUUGUUUCACGGGGUGUUUCGGUGUCUUGCCUUGAAUCAAGGCGUGUAAAAACGUUAUGUGUGAUCCUUAUACACCAGCUGGUGUUCCAAUUCCAACCAACAAGAGGCACAACGCUGCUAAAAUUUUCAGACACCAAUCGUUGCCUCCGAGGAGCCUUGGUAUGCUCAUCUUCUUGUUUUUUGGCUAUACAUAUUAUUUUCGUUACUAUAAAUUCUAAUAGUGUUUGUUUUUUUAAACGAUUGUAUGUUUUGGAUGAAUGAAAGCAACCACGAUGCAUGAAGAAGAUUCAGGUGAUGUUUCAAUUGAUCUUUUAUCUUUAAUUUAUCGAUUUUCUAAUUUUACAAAAAUGUUCUCACCGAGUAGAAUAUACUUUUGAGUUUU
Long non-coding RNA from Arabidopsis lyrata subsp. lyrata, 475 nucleotides. RefSeq lists it as uncharacterized. The transcript is spliced from 3 exons. Lineage: Eukaryota; Viridiplantae; Streptophyta; Magnoliopsida; Brassicales; Brassicaceae. The record is from RefSeq and is a predicted model, not a curated record.